AUUGAACGCUGACGGCAUGCCUUACACAUGCAAGUCGAACGGCAGCAUAGGAGCUUGCUCCUGAUGGCGAGUGGCGAACGGGUGAGUAAUAUAUCGGAACGUGCCCUAGAGUGGGGGAUAACUAGUCGAAAGACUAGCUAAUACCGCAUACGAUCUACGGAUGAAAGUGGGGGAUCGCAAGACCUCAUGCCCCUGGAGCGGCCGAUAUCUGAUUAGCUAGUUGGGGGGGUAAAAGCUCACCAAGGCGACGAUCAGUAGCUGGUCUGAGAGGACGACCAGCCACACUGGGACUGAGACACGGCCCAGACUCCUACGGGAGGCAGCAGUGGGGAAUUUUGGACAAUGGGGGCAACCCUGAUCCAGCAAUGCCGCGUGAGUGGAGAAGGCCUUCGGGUUGUAAAGCUCUUUUGUCAGGGAAGAAACGGUUCUGGAUAAUACCUGGGACUAAUGACGGUACCUGAAGAAUAAGCACCGGCUAACUACGUGCCAGCAGCCGCCGUAA
RNAcentral lists this ribosomal RNA (502 nucleotides) under uncultured bacterium. Its description in RNAcentral is "partial 16S ribosomal RNA". It matches the Rfam family "Bacterial small subunit ribosomal RNA", at positions 30 to 523 of the family's 1533-position model. The record is from RNAcentral.